RNAcentral lists this ribosomal RNA (114 nucleotides) under Gemmataceae bacterium. The record is from RNAcentral. Lineage: Bacteria; Pseudomonadati; Planctomycetota; Planctomycetia; Gemmatales; Gemmataceae.
CUUGCCGGUGACCAUACCCGAUUGGAAACACCCGUUCCCAUUCCGAACACGGCAGUGAAACGCUCGGGGCCGAUGGUAGUGCGUCCAGCGCGAGAGUAGGUAUCGCCGGCUCUU